CUAAGGAGCACCACGAAAAGCACCCCAAUUGGUGGGGUGCAAGCCGUGAGGGGUUCCCGCCUGUAGUGGGCGGGGCCGGGUGCACAACAGCAAAUGAUUGCCAGACACACUAUUGGGCCCUGAGGCAACACUCGGAUCGAUUGAGUGCUUGUCCCCCCAUCUUGGUGGUGGGGUGUGGUGUUUGAGAACUGGAUAGUGGUUGCGAGCAUCUAAAUGAAUGCGCUGCUUAUGGUGGCGUGUUCGUUUUGUGUAAUUUAUUCUUUGGUUUUUGUGUUUGUAAGUGCUUAAGGGCGCAUGGUGGAUGCCUUGGCGAA
RNAcentral lists this unclassified non-coding RNA (314 nucleotides) under Mycobacterium paraense. Its description in RNAcentral is "partial 16S-23S ribosomal RNA intergenic spacer". The record is from RNAcentral. Lineage: Bacteria; Bacillati; Actinomycetota; Actinomycetes; Mycobacteriales; Mycobacteriaceae.